Molecule: ribosomal RNA, 251 nt
Filed under: uncultured Actinomycetales bacterium
Lineage: Bacteria; Bacillati; Actinomycetota; Actinomycetes; Actinomycetales
Description: partial 16S ribosomal RNA
Rfam family: Bacterial small subunit ribosomal RNA
Source: RNAcentral
CUUGCAGGGUACUCGAGUGGCGAACGGGUGAGUAACACGUGGGUGAUCUGCCCUGCACUUUGGGAUAAGCCUGGGAAACUGGGUCUAAUACCGGAUAGGAGCCAUUUUUAGUGUGAUGGUUGGAAAGUUUUUCGGUGUGGGAUGAGCUCGCGGCCUAUCAGCUUGUUGGUGGGGUAAUGGCCUACCAAGGCGGCGACGGGUAGCCGGCCUGAGAGGGUGGACGGCCACAUUGGGACUGAGAUACGGCCCAG